RNAcentral lists this ribosomal RNA (451 nucleotides) under uncultured bacterium. RNAcentral's name for it is "partial 16S ribosomal RNA". It matches the Rfam family "Bacterial small subunit ribosomal RNA", at positions 29 to 523 of the family's 1533-position model. The record is from RNAcentral.
AACGAACGCUGGCGGCAGGCUUAACACAUGCAAGUCGAACGGGUGUAGCAAUACAUCAGUGGCAGAUGGGUGAGUAACACGUGGGAACCUUCCUAGGGGUACGGAACAACUCAGGGAAAUUUGAGCUAAUACCGUAUACGUCCGUGAGGAGAAAGAUUUAUCGCCCUUAGACGGGCCCGCGUCGGAUUAGCUAGUUGGUGGGGUAACGGCCUACCAAGGCGACGAUCCGUAGCUGAUCUUAGAGGAUGAUCAGCCACACUGGGACUGAGACACGGCCCAGACUCCUACGGGAGGCAGCAGUGGGGAAUCUUGGACAAUGGGCGCAAGCCUGAUCCAGCCAUGCCGCGUGAGUGAAGAAGGUCUUCGGAUUGUAAAGCUCUUUUGCCAGGGACGAUAAUGACGGUACCUGGAGAAUAAGCCCCGGCAAACUUCGUGCCAGCCGCCGCCGUAA